Molecule: ribosomal RNA, 821 nt
Filed under: uncultured Bradyrhizobiaceae bacterium
Lineage: Bacteria; Pseudomonadati; Pseudomonadota; Alphaproteobacteria; Hyphomicrobiales; Nitrobacteraceae
Description: bacterial SSU rRNA
Rfam family: Bacterial small subunit ribosomal RNA
Source: RNAcentral
UGCAGUCGAGCGGGCGUAGCAAUACGUCAGCGGCAGACGGGUGAGUAACGCGUGGGAACAUACCUUUUGGUUCGGAACAACACAGGGAAACUUGUGCUAAUACCGGAUAAGCCCUUACGGGGAAAGAUUUAUCGCCGAAAGAUUGGCCCGCGUCUGAUUAGCUAGUUGGUGAGGUAACGGCUCACCAAGGCGACGAUCAGUAGCUGGUCUGAGAGGAUGAUCAGCCACAUUGGGACUGAGACACGGCCCAAACUCCUACGGGAGGCAGCAGUGGGGAAUAUUGGACAAUGGGCGCAAGCCUGAUCCAGCCAUGCCGCGUGAGUGAUGAAGGCCCUAGGGUUGUAAAGCUCUUUUGUGCGGGAAGAUAAUGACGGUACCGCAAGAAUAAGCCCCGGCUAACUUCGUGCCAGCAGCCGCGGUAAUACGAAGGGGGCUAGCGUUGCUCGGAAUCACUGGGCGUAAAGGGUGCGUAGGCGGGUCUUUAAGUCAGGGGUGAAAUCCUGGAGCUCAACUCCAGAACUGCCUUUGAUACUGAAGAUCUUGAGUUCGGGAGAGGUGAGUGGAACUGCGAGUGUAGAGGUGAAAUUCGUAGAUAUUCGCAAGAACACCAGUGGCGAAGGCGGCUCACUGGCCCGAUACUGACGCUGAGGCACGAAAGCGUGGGGGAGCAAACAGGAUUAGAUACCCUGGUAGUCCACGCCGUAAACGAUGAAUGCCAGCCGUUAGUGGGUUUACUCACUAGUGGCGCAGCUACGCUUUAGGCAUUCGGCUGGGGGAGUACGGUCGCAAGAUAAACUCAAGGAUGACGGGGGCCCGCACAG